Molecule: ribosomal RNA, 751 nt
Filed under: uncultured Glomus
Lineage: Eukaryota; Fungi; Glomeromycota; Glomeromycetes; Glomerales; Glomeraceae
Description: partial 28S ribosomal RNA
Source: RNAcentral
UACGUCAACAUCCUUAACGAAUGUAAUCCGUUCUAACCUUUUGACCGUAAUACCUUAAUAUCAUAAGCACGCUUUCAAUACCAAGGUCACGUAUCAGAGAUCAGGCGGAUAGCCCAAAAGGGUAUUCGUUGCAAUCCUCGAUCCUAAUCAUCACAUUUACCAAAGGCUAUAACACUUCAAUACGAGAUCGAAGCUACAUUCCUCCAAUCCUUUUAUGAUGAAUCAAAAUCGAUGUUAACCUACCUGCGAGAAAGUACACCAAAAGAGCGAACAUUUUGAAAUCUUCAAGGUUUUGACACACUUCAAAACUCCAAAACCCCACUCGAAAGGUUGAUUUCCCGCUGGUACGACUGACUUCAAUCGUUUCCCUUUCAACAAUUUCACGUACUGUUUAACUCUCUUUUCAAAGUUCUUUUCAUCUUUCCCUCACGGUACUUGUUCGCUAUCGGUCUCUCGCCAAUAUUUAGCCUUAGGAGAAAUUUACCUCCCAUUUUGAGCUGCAAUCCCAAACAACUCGACUCUUCGAAAACGCAUCAUAAAGCAUCUUAGAAUUAACCAUGAACGGGAUUGUCACCCUCCAUGAUACCUCAUUCCAAAGGAUUUUGAUUAACUCAAGACACAGAAAACGUUUCUUUAAAUUACAACUCUGUCAGGUAGAACCGAACAGAUUUAAAAUUUGAGCUUGUCCCUCUUCACUCGCAGUUACUAGGGGAAUCAUUGUUAUUUUCUUUUCCUCCGCUUAUUGAUAUCG